CCCCAUGUCAGAUUUGCUCUAAAUGCUUUGGCUUUUGAGUUAUAAGCCAAAAACUGCAUUUUACCCCUAUGUUCUAUUUUUAGCCAUGGCGGCCAUUUUGGUUGGUUGGCCGGGUCACCGGACACAUUUUUUAAACUAGAUACCCCAAUGAUGAUUAUGGCCAAGUUUGGUUAAAUUUGGCCCAGCAGUUUCAGAGGAGAA
RNAcentral lists this long non-coding RNA (201 nucleotides) under Mytilus galloprovincialis (Mediterranean mussel). The record is from RNAcentral. Lineage: Eukaryota; Metazoa; Mollusca; Bivalvia; Mytilida; Mytilidae.